Molecule: non-coding RNA, 325 nt
Filed under: Asterias forbesi (Forbes's starfish)
Lineage: Eukaryota; Metazoa; Echinodermata; Asteroidea; Forcipulatida; Asteriidae
Source: RNAcentral
GACGCGUCGUUCAAGACGGACCGACCUCUACAUUCCUAACCCUAACCUAGCUGAUUUCUCAAUCAGCGACUUUUGGGUUAACCACAACAGUUUUGAAGCUUGUUUCUGUUGUUUGUACACAGCGAAACGAAAAACUUGCUGGCCGGUGUCAUCGACACACGACGAAAGGGCAWCAAAAUGUCAAGUUGUUUCUGCUGUAAAAAAACGGGAAUCGUGUACUACUGACCUUGCCGUACGUUUUGUGCAUGCGAGUGUUCAGUGGUUCUCAACGGGCAUAAUAUUGAUGUAGAGUAACUUGACGUAAGUUUUCGACUCCCBCCCCUUU